Long non-coding RNA from Spinacia oleracea (spinach), 1127 nucleotides. RefSeq lists it as uncharacterized. The record is from RefSeq and is a predicted model, not a curated record. NCBI's taxonomy places the organism in Eukaryota, Viridiplantae, Streptophyta, Magnoliopsida, Caryophyllales, Amaranthaceae. The transcript is spliced from 4 exons.
UAAAUAUACAAUUAAAAAAAAAAUCUUAAAUUAACGAAGCUUUAUUUUCGCUCUCCCCAAUUUUCUCCCUCUUCACCUUCGUUUUCUCUCUCUCCUCUGCGGUCGCCGUUUCUUCUUCACCGCCGAAUCUCUCCGCCAUUGCGUAGUUUCUCAUUGAUGUUGGGGGGUUGAUUGUUGCAGUAGCUCCACCCUCCAUCUCAUUUGUCUUUGCGAUCUCCCUUGUCUCCAGUCACUGCGCUCUCCCUCGUCUCCAGUCUGUACCGCCGCCGCCAACGGUGGUCCUGAAUCCACCAUCAACUAGGCAGAGAUGAAGAAUAGACCAGAAGAUUCGAGUCACCCUAAUUUGAAGAAAUCGUUCAACUAUUCAGGUGAAUUAAGUUGCCCAUGGCCGAAGUGUGAUGGGUUUAAUCGGGUGGGUCUGCAUCAGCUGCUACAACAACAUUUUUGGCUCUUUGAGUCAGUCGAGUGACCACGUUUAAUGCUAACGCAUACAAUCAGAUGGGUUCUGCAUCUGCUCUACAUCACCGUCUUUGGCUCUUGGAGUGACAAAGUUGAGAGGUGUUUGCAUGAUAUCUUCGCUAUUUGGUAAAUAUGAAGAUGGGGACAUCGUGAAUAAGUUACAAGAGAUGUAUGAGGUACUCAAAAAUUCGAGGGAGGAGCCUUUCACGAUUGAAGAGAUAAAUGAAGUUCGAGAAAAGUUGGCAAACUUCAUUUCUAGUGAUUGUCUUUGAUAUUUUCUUGUAGUGAAUUUUAGUAUUGUUUUUGAUAUUUCCUUGUAAUGAAUUUUAGGUUACGGAUGCUAGUUUUUUAUGACUGUUAUGUAAUCGAGUUUUCAACUGUAUAAUUUACUUAGGUUAAAUUGUUUUUUACCACCUAAAAAAAUUGGAAAAUUAUUUUUUACCACCUAAAAAAAUAAAAGUAGUUUUUUACCACCUAAAAAUAAAAUAAAAAUUGUCUUUUACCACCUCUUAACUACAAAAUGGAUGAAAACGUUAUGUGAAUUAAUGGGAAGGGAAAAUGGUAACUCAUUUGCAUAAAAAUCGUGGGAGAAGAGAAGGAAACAAAAAAUAUAGUCGGUGAAAUGGAUCUGCAUAGCAUUUUCUUGCAUUUUUUCGGUUAAGAGGUGG